Molecule: ribosomal RNA, 899 nt
Filed under: Trichomonas vaginalis
Lineage: Eukaryota; Parabasalia; Trichomonadida; Trichomonadidae
Description: SSU rRNA
Rfam family: Eukaryotic small subunit ribosomal RNA
Source: RNAcentral
CACACUCGUCAUAGAUAGCAUGCAGUGUUAGUCAGUACGAACUGCGAAUAGCUCAUUAAUACGCUCAGAAUCUAUUUGGCGGCGACCAACAGGUCUUAAAUGGAUAGCAGCAGCAACUCUGGUGCUAAUACAUGCGAUUGUUUCUCCAGAUGUGAAUUAUGGAGGAAAAGUUGACCUCAUCAGAGGCACGCCAUUCGACUGAGUGACCUAUCAGCUUGUACUUAGGGUCUUUACCUAGGUAGGCUAUCACGGGUAACGGGCGGUUACCGUCGGACUGCCGGAGAAGGCGCCUGAGAGAUAGCGACUAUAUCCACGGGUAGCAGCAGGCGCGAAACUUUCCCACUCGAGACUUUCGGAGGAGGUAAUGACCAGUUCCAUUGGUGCCUUUUGGUACUGUGGAUAGGGGUACGGUUUUCCACCGUACCGAAACCUAGCAGAGGGCCAGUCUGGUGCCAGCAGCUGCGGUAAUUCCAGCUCUGCGAGUUUGCUCCCAUAUUGUUGCAGUUAAAACGCCCGUAGUCUGAAUUGGCCAGCAAUGGUCGUACGUAUUUUUACGUUCACUGUGAACAAAUCAGGACGCUUAGAGUAUGGCCACAUGAAUGACUCAGCGCAGUAUGAAGUCUUUGUUUUCUUCCGAAAACAAGCUCAAUGAGAGCCAUCGGGGGUAGAUCUAUCUCAUGACGAGUGGUGGAAUACUUUGACUCAUGAGAGAGAAGCUGAGGCGAAGGCGUCUACCUAGAGGGUUUCUGUCGAUCAAGGGCGAGAGUAGGAGUAUCCAACAGGAUUAGAGACCCUGGUAGUUCCUACCUUAAACGAUGCCGACAGGAGUUUGUCAUUUGUUAAUGGCAGAAUCUUUGGAGAAAUCAUAGUUCUUGGCUCUGGACUACGACCGCAGCUGA